UACAGAGGUGGCAAGCGUUGUUCGGAAUCACUGGGCGUAAAGGGCGCGUAGGCGGUUCGUUAAGUCCUGUGUGAAAUCCCCCGGCUCAACUGGGGAACUGCACAGGAAACUAGCGGGCUUGAGUUCGGGAGAGGGAAGCGGAAUUCCGGGUGUAGCGGUGAAAUGCGUAGAUAUCCGGAGGAACACCGGUGGCGAAGGCGGCUUCCUGGACCGACACUGACGCUGAGGCGCGAAAGCUAGGGGAGCAAACGGG
This 253-nucleotide ribosomal RNA is filed under the name uncultured bacterium. Its description in RNAcentral is "partial 16S ribosomal RNA". It matches the Rfam family "Bacterial small subunit ribosomal RNA", at positions 524 to 776 of the family's 1533-position model. The record is from RNAcentral.